CCCCCUCUACUUUCCUCUUUCUUUCUUGCUUUGUUCGUCUUGUAUUUCUUCUUCUUCUUCUUUCUCUUUUGUUUUCUUCUUCUUCUUCCUUCGUCUUCUGGUUCGUAAUCUUCUUCUUCGUCUUCUUCUUCUUCGUCAUCGUCGUCUUCUUCUUAGUGUUCUUCUUUACCGACCGGCUGUCCUCCGGCCUACACCCCUAACAGUGCACCGCCUCACCGUCUUCGACCGUCGACCGCGCUCCACUGCUGCCUGCGGACGUCCUCAAACGCAAACCCUAGCUUUUCCCGUGUGUGAUACCCGCCAUUGAGGGACACCGUACUUUUGUGCAUAAUUCUAAGCGGCGAUCCAAGCUUGCUGCAUAAUAAUUGGAGUCAGAUCAGAAUGAAAUCACAGAAAAGAUGGAUGCGCAAGAUGCGAAGUUAGAUGCGCAGGGACUGAAGUUGGAUGUGCAGGCGGCGCAACUGGCCGAUAUUGCGGCAUCCCUGGCAGCCUUGACGGCGGUACUAUCUCUUCCGCAGCCGGCUGUCCAGCCAGUGAAUGGAACACCACUGCAGGAGAAGGCGCCGGGGGUGGCAGAAGAUGAGACGAGCGCAGCCAGUGGACAGCAAGGGGGCAUGCCGCAACCGGGUGGCAAUGCGGCGACAGCCGCAUGGGCGACAGGAGCACGGGGCGAAGGGGAGCGCAUGACACACAGUAGGAUGAUAACGCAGUUGCCGUCCUUUUCCUGAGAUGAUCCAAUCUGCUGGGUGGCGAGGGAUGAACAACAAUUUGAGAUUUACUGCAGAUCAUCAAAGCGGAAGAUAGCAAUGGCGUGGUCGCAAUGGAAGGACCGGCAUUAUAUUGGGUGACAUGGCUACGCACACGUCACCCGGGGCUGCCAUGGGAGGAAUUCACCCAUGCACUAGUGGCGCGGUUUGACACGCGUUUUAAGGGCAACUGUUUCGAGUGACUGUCAGAAGUGAAGCAACAUGGAACGGUGGAUGAGUAUAUAUCGCUCUUUGUUCAAUUGGCAAGUCAAGUUCCGGGAUUGUCGGAGGCGCACUACUUGGGGUAUUUUAUGAGUGGCCUAAAGGGUUCAAUUCGGGGCUCACUUCGUCUGCUACGGCCCACUGAUUUGGAGACCGCGAUGGAGUUGUCCAGGGACAUCGAAGAUAACCUGGGUUUGCAAAAUGACAAACAAGGGAGCCAGACAGUUAGUAACUUUGGAAACCGUUAGUGGGGGUUUUCCCGAUCAUCAGGCGGCGGUCCAAUUUCUGGAAAUAUGAGCAAUAUGAGUGGUAAUAGCCCAAGGGUUGGAAACCAGACUGUGGGUAUGAGCUCAAUGUCAUCUGGACAGUCUACGGCACGUUCUCGGUUCACCCGACUUUCACCCAAGUUAUUGGAGGAACUACGUGCAAAAGGAUUGUGUUUUCGUUGCAAAAAGCCAUUCUCGCCGGGGCAUGAUUGUCCCCUCAAACAACUACGGGUAUUAAUCGCUGAGGAAGACGAGGAGUUAGCUCUCCACCAGUAUGAAUAUUAUGAGGUGACCGGUCUAGAAGGAGGCGAAGAGGAAUAGGCAAGAGAGUUGAGGGACUUGCCACUGUAUUCGAUGACUGGGGUGAUGUUUAGUCUUCGCACGAUGCGGUUACGGGGCAUAGUUCAGGGCACGGAGAUAACCGUAUUAAUCGACGGUGGAGCGAGCCACAACUUUAUAUGUUCUUCUUUAAUUGACAGAUUGGCGCUGCGCCCAAAAUCGACCGGAAAAUUCGGAGUCAAAAUGGGAGAUGGUCGUCGGAAGGAAUCAGAAGGGAUGUGUCGGCAUUUAGCCAUCGGACUACAGGGAUGUGAGGCGGUGGCAGACUGCUACGUAUUUUCCUUAGGGGGUGUGGAAGUUAUCUUGGGUAUUGUGUGGCUCGCCGCACUUGGAGAAAUUGUUCAUAAUUGGGCAAAACUUUCCAUGAGCUUUAAGGGAACUACCGGUCAAGUGAAGCUAAGGGGGGACCCAAUGUUGUGUCGAACUCUUGUAGAGGGAGAUUUACCGCCAUGUUCGGAAUUGCCUGUAUAGUCGGUGUUUAAACCUGCAGAGGUUUUAGCGCAACAAGUAGUUCAAAAGGAUGGGGCCCUUGUUGAGCAAUUGUUGGUUAAGUGGAGUGGACAAUCAUUGGAUGAUGCUACUUUGAUAUCCCGUCCUGACUUCUUGGGAUACUUCACAAACUUCAACCUUGAGGACAAGGUUAUUUCCAAGGGGAUAAAAUUGAUGUGGUGCAAGGGGAUCAGCCCUUGCAAGUUUAUCAUCGACGGAGACGGGCAUGAACCCACCUUCCGUGGGUUAAGUUUAUCCGAAAUUCAAAUUUUAAUUUCUAAUUUAUUAGCUUUAAUUUUAAUUUAUUGUCUUUAAAUUAAAUUUAUUUUCAUUUAUUCUAUCUCUAAAUUUGGAAUUGCGUACCAUAAAUCCCUAACUUAGGACUUUUGGGGGAUUAUGGAUGAAAUAAAUUAUUGAUGAAUUAUCCGUUUGAGAAGGAUAAUUGGGGGAACACACUGUUCUUGUUCUAUUUCUAACCGUGGUUGUUUGCCCCGUAUGACCUUGUUGGGUAGCAUAUAAAUCUAUAUUUAAAUAUUUUUGUAGAGGCCGGUGAGUGACAGGAUUUUAUCCCCGAACCACUUUAAUUUUUGAUCUAAUUUAUGUGUUUGGUAUUUGGCUACAUUAACACUCAAUUAAUUGUUUUUUUUUUAAAUUGAUCAUGUUUAAGUUGGUUGUUUAAACAAACAGCUUUCACACGUAUCAAAUAAAUUGAGCACGUUGUUGGUUGUUUAUACUUGUGGGGUUGUAUAGAUGUUGGUCCGGGUGUCAUCGAGAUAGGAUCCAUGCUAUAAUUAUACUUAUAUUGAUUUAUGUUUUACAAUUUUGAUUACGUUGUUGUAUGGAUGGUUAAAUUAGGCAAAUCAUCUCCGACUUUUUCUCUUACGAAUACUAUAAUGUUUUACUUAAUAUCUUUAAUAUUUUAUAUUGAUUAAAUAUUUCAUGAGGUUUGUUUUCUUUCCGAUAAUAUGCACAUGUUUUCUUUAUAU
Molecule: long non-coding RNA, 3048 nt
Organism: Andrographis paniculata
Lineage: Eukaryota; Viridiplantae; Streptophyta; Magnoliopsida; Lamiales; Acanthaceae
Exons: 3
Source: RefSeq, a predicted model, not a curated record